This 251-nucleotide ribosomal RNA is filed under the name Pirellulales bacterium. Its description in RNAcentral is "partial 23S ribosomal RNA". It matches the Rfam family "Bacterial large subunit ribosomal RNA", at positions 1 to 279 of the family's 2925-position model. The record is from RNAcentral. Lineage: Bacteria; Pseudomonadati; Planctomycetota; Planctomycetia; Pirellulales.
GGCCAAGCUACUAAGGGCACAUGGGGGAUGUCUUGGUGUUAGAAGGCUUUGAAGGGCGUGGAAGACUGCGAUAAGCCCGGGGGAGUUGUCAAACGAGCGUUGAUCCCGGGAUACCUGAACUGGCGUAAGCUGAAUUCAUAGGCUUGCGUGGCGAACGCGGUGAACUGAAACAUCUCAGUAACCGCAGGAAAAGAAAGAAAAAUCGAUUUCCUCAGUAGCGGCGAGCGAACGGGAAAUAGCCCAAACCGCGG